CAGUAGCCGCGGGAAAACGAGGGGUGCAAGCGUUAUUCGGAUUGAUUGGGUAUAAAGGGUGUGCAGACGGCUUAUUAAGUCACUUGUUAAAUUCUUCGGCCUAACUGAAGGUCUGCAAGUGAUACUGAUGAGCUAGAGGGUGGAAGAGAGAAGUAGAAUUCUCGGAGUAGCGGUAAAAUGCGUAGAUCUCGAGAGGAACACCAAUGGCGAAGGCAGCUUCUUGGUCCAUUCCUGACGUUCAUACACGAAAGCGUGGGGAGCAAACAGGAUUAGAUACCCCAGUAGUCCCUGUCUCUUAUAC
This 301-nucleotide ribosomal RNA is filed under the name uncultured bacterium. Its description in RNAcentral is "partial 16S ribosomal RNA". It matches the Rfam family "Bacterial small subunit ribosomal RNA", at positions 509 to 807 of the family's 1533-position model. The record is from RNAcentral.